RNAcentral lists this ribosomal RNA (253 nucleotides) under uncultured bacterium. RNAcentral's name for it is "partial 16S ribosomal RNA". It matches the Rfam family "Bacterial small subunit ribosomal RNA", at positions 524 to 776 of the family's 1533-position model. The record is from RNAcentral.
UACGUAGGGUGCGAGCGUUGUCCGGAAUUACUGGGCGUAAAGAGCUCGUAGGCGGUUUGUCGCGUCUGCUGUGAAAACCUAAGGCUCAACCUUGGGCUUGCAGUGGGUACGGGCAGACUAGAGUGCGGUAGGGGUGACUGGAAUUCCUGGUGUAGCGGUGGAAUGCGCAGAUAUCAGGAGGAACACCGAUGGCGAAGGCAGGUCUCUGGGCCACUACUGACGCUGAGAAGCGAAAGCAUGGGGAGCGAACAGG